AGCCUGAUGGAUUUAUAUUAGGUAAGCUCUGCUCAGUGAUUAUUUAAAUAGCCGCGGUACUUUAACCGUGCAAAGGUAGCAUAAUAAAUUGGCUUUUAAUUGAAGUCUGGGAUGAAUGAGUUUAUGGGUGUUGACUGUUUCAUUAAAAUUAUUUCUAAUUUACUUAUUAAGUGAAAAUACUUAAAGGUUAAAUAAAAGACGAGAAGACCCUAGAAGUUUUUAUUAAGAAUCUUUUUUACAUUUUUGUUGGGGCAACAAAGUUACAAAAUUAAUUAACCUGGAUGUUGUUUAAAUAGGAAAGGUUAAUCGUGAACAAUUAAGCUACUCUAGGGAUAACAGCAUAAUUUUUAAAGAAGUUUGUGACCUCGAUGUUGGAUUAAGGAUGGUUUAGGCUAGAAGUUUAAAUUUUAAGUUCUGUUCGAACUGUUUUCUUUUACAUG
Molecule: ribosomal RNA, 440 nt
Filed under: Caracolus sagemon
Lineage: Eukaryota; Metazoa; Mollusca; Gastropoda; Stylommatophora; Solaropsidae
Description: partial 16S ribosomal RNA
Source: RNAcentral